Molecule: ribosomal RNA, 253 nt
Filed under: uncultured Anaeromyxobacter sp.
Lineage: Bacteria; Pseudomonadati; Myxococcota; Myxococcia; Myxococcales; Anaeromyxobacteraceae
Description: partial 16S ribosomal RNA
Rfam family: Bacterial small subunit ribosomal RNA
Source: RNAcentral
UACAGAGGGUGCGAGCGUUGUUCGGAAUUAUUGGGCGUAAAGCGCUUGUAGGCGGCCCGGCAUGUCCCGUGUGAAAUCCCUCGGCUUAACCGAGGAAGUGCGCGGGAAACUACCGGGCUUGAGUGCCGGAGAGGAUGGCGGAAUUCCCGGUGUAGAGGUGAAAUUCGUAGAUAUCGGGAGGAACACCAGUGGCGAAGGCGGCCAUCUGGACGGACACUGACGCUGAGACGCGAAAGCGUGGGGAGCAAACAGG